UCCUCCGUGGCGCAAUUGGCUAGCGCGUCUGACUGUUACUCUCACAUACGUGAUUGAGCAAUCAGGAGGUUGACAGUUCAAGCCUGUCCGGGGGAG
This 96-nucleotide transfer RNA is filed under the name Annulohypoxylon stygium. RNAcentral's name for it is "tRNA-Asn". It matches the Rfam family "tRNA". Rfam says of the family: Transfer RNA (tRNA) molecules are approximately 80 nucleotides in length. Their secondary structure includes four short double-helical elements and three loops (D, anti-codon, and T loops). The record is from RNAcentral. Lineage: Eukaryota; Fungi; Ascomycota; Sordariomycetes; Xylariales; Hypoxylaceae.